Long non-coding RNA from Herpailurus yagouaroundi (jaguarundi), 2873 nucleotides. RefSeq lists it as uncharacterized. The record is from RefSeq and is a predicted model, not a curated record. Lineage: Eukaryota; Metazoa; Chordata; Mammalia; Carnivora; Felidae. The transcript has 3 exons.
GUGUGUGUGUGUGUUCUCUUUUUCUUCCUGAUUGGCUUUGUGUGUAUGUGUAUGUAUGUCUUUCUUUAUUCCUUGGGCACCUGCAGUGUUGAUUUCCAAAUGCACAUUUUCCUGCCAGCUACUGGCUCCUGGGGGUGGGAGGAGGUGGGUAGAGGGAGACUGUCCAGGGGCCUGGGGGAAACUAUCUUUACCUGCAGAGAUCAUAUUUGGUGCUAGCAUCAGUCAUUGGCCUCCACAGAUGUAACCCCCCUUUCCUCCCCCCAACCUCCCUGUCCCCACCCCCAACACACCACACACACAGAAGGCUUUGAGAUUCUGCAGAGUUGGUCCUGCUUUCUUAAGCACAAAACCCAGAUAGGAGUUGGUUUCUAGUAUUUCAUGCACCUGGUGUGAUGGUUUGACGUUCCUGAAGGAAACUUUUCCCUUUCCUUCUGGUUUUUUCGCUGUUAUUAUGGUAUUGUUUGAGAUGAUCGGGUGUAAGCUUUGUUAAUGACAGCUUAAAUCUCACAUGCAGUAACCGUACAGGUUUAGAUUGCUGGUUCUGCGUGUGUGCUCGGGUGUCAGGUUUAAAUAUUUUCAAAAAGGAAGCUAUCCUGUCAGGGUUGUUCUUUUCUGUUUGAACUGCUUUUUGGUUGGGCCGCUGGUGGUGAUGGUGGUGGAUGGGGGCCAGUGGUUGGGGAGGAAGGGAGAUUGGUGGUGAUGGUAUUGGUGGCCGUAGAUUUCGAUGUUAGUGAUUGAAUCAGUUACCCUUUGGUUCUAGAACUGGUGAUUUAUUGGCUAAAAUGGAUCUUACACGAUUAUUUUGAGUGUUGAGGCUCACCACUUAUUAGGAUAAUUCUAACUGUGGCUUUAACUUUGCCAAGGUGGGAGGGUACUGUACAGCGUGACUUCUUUCUCUCUUUCUGUCUUUCUCUUGUGCUUUGAAAUAGAUAUUGAAAUGGCAGCAUGUAUCCUAAUAGAAAAUGCUGCCUAGAAUUUGGUUCACCAUUGCUUUCUGUGAUUGGGUUAGGACAUUAUUUGUAAGAGCUGGUUACAAGUGGUUCUGCUUUCUGCGUGGUCCUCCUGGGUUGCUGUGUGGCCCCUUACAGUGAGUAAGCAAGAGGGGCCUGCAUUUUCCCAUGAACAUUUUUGAAGGCCAAGUAGAGGGAGGUAUAACUUAUGCAGUAGUUUUUAAUUUUAAUAAGUAGAUAUUUGAUUGGGCUUGCAAAAUUUAGUCCAUUUGGCUUUUGAGAGAAAAUGUACCCAUUCUAGUGUCUUUUGGGUUUAAAAAACGUAAGUUUUAGGAAAGGUCGAGUUCAAAGUGUAGCAUCAAUACCGUUCCUUUCCUUACCGUGAUUGUUUUUUCUGCUACUUUUCUAGAUCAAAACCCAGGUUACUUUGGUUAGCUGAAUGCUGUGCUGCCGUCAUAUCUAAAUAUCAUUUACAUAUCUAAAUAUCAUUUACAUAUCUGUAGGUAGAUCUAAAAGGCCUAACUUUUUAAAAAGCUUCUAUAAAACUUUUCCAAAUAGUUACACUUCCUCACCCAUUGUGGGUAUGGAGAAUGGGGAUUGGGUGGUUUCAGGCUGUUGGGAACCACAGGUUCUUCUUGCCUUGUGCGGUGGUUUUGAAACCCCCAGUUGUACAUGUGCAUACCCCAGGGUAGCUUCUUAAACAUACAGGUUCCCGGGUCCUGUUCCUCAUCUACUGAAAUUUCUGCUGUGUGGCCCUGGCACAUGUUUUUGACAACCCCCACCCCCCAGGAGUUCUUUUACAGCAAGUCCCCUGCACAGAAGUUUUGGAAUUGCUAUUUUAGAGAAUAUUUUUCGGUGUUUUCUUGGGGCAGCAGUAAUGGUAGCGCUUUAAAAUAAUUCCUAUGCAGCCAAACCUUUUCUGAAAAUAAAACACUCAUGCCUAUUUGGCUUUUAAAUUUUACAUAUUGUGAAGUAGAACAUAUCCUAAAAUAAGUAUCGUGUGCAGCUCAGUGAAUUAUCACAAAGUAAACACCCAAGUAAUCAGGACCAGGCAGUAGAACAUUGCCAAAAAUCUUUGAUUUUUAUUCUUCAAAUUUAUGCUUCCACCCCUUCCUUCUCUUCAAAUCCCCAAAAUUAGGCAAAUAAGGAAAAGUUGAUAAAACAUUGUAAUAAGGUACAAAUGAAAAACAUUCUGCCUUUCUGUACUGGCUUCUUCUUAAUUUUUCUCAUUUCUGUAAGUUUUGGUGAUGUUAAGUUUGUAUUAUCUUUGUUUUGAUUCAGCCUUUAUAUCAGUUCCUGACAGUGACUGUCUAUUAACGCUUAGAGCAUAUAUCAAGAUUAGGCUCUAAGGUCUAUCUUUUCUGAAAUCUAAUUCACUGAAAAUAUUCUCAUGAUAGUUUUGAAAAAUGUAAAAUGACAGAUUUCCAGCCCUGGCAGUUAUGACUCUGGUAAACAAAUGAGUCUUGUCAUGACUGCGUCGGUCGCCUGGUAAACAUGCCUCGCUGGCCAAAUGCCUUUUAUCUUGGUACUUGAGGAAAGGUGGCCUCUUAGUUAACAACAAAAAAGAAGUCCGUCCUUUCUCUCCACCCCAGAAUAAUCUCUCUCGAUCCGUUCCAUUUGGAGCACUUAAAACCAAAGGUGAUGAAGUGCACUGAGGUUGUUUUUCCCUUUUGACACUUUAAGAAUCAUUAGAUUCUUGGUGGGACAAGUUCUGUUUAACAGAAAGCUUGCUUGUUUUCUUUGAAAGGGGAUACUUACUUACCCUAUAGGGACCGGCAGCAGGCCCUGUGCGGGAGCUGUGCUGGGGUGAAGGGAGAGAGCUGCAGUCUUGGGCCGCAGGCCGUAGUGACUAAUAAUUAUGUGCCAGCAGCUGCACAUCUGUCCUUCCCCAGCAGGCACGUGGGUUCUGUGGAUGUAAGAGCU